Molecule: ribosomal RNA, 576 nt
Filed under: Sulcaria isidiifera
Lineage: Eukaryota; Fungi; Ascomycota; Lecanoromycetes; Lecanorales; Parmeliaceae
Description: eukaryotic LSU rRNA
Rfam family: 5.8S ribosomal RNA (bases 230-383)
Source: RNAcentral
AAGUCGUAACAAGGUUUCCGUAGGUGAACCUGCGGAAGGAUCAUUACCGAGAUGGGGCCCCGCGCCCCCGGGGGCUUCGGCCCUCGACUCUUCACCCCGUGUCUACCUACCUCUGUUGCUUUGGCGGGCCCCGGGGACCCCCGCACCGGCCCCUGAGCCGGUCCGCGCCCGCCAGAGGCCCAUACCAUUCUGUUUCCGUGAUGUCCGAGUACCAAUCCACAAUCGUUAAAACUUUCAACAACGGAUCUCUUGGUUCCAGCAUCGAUGAAGAACGCAGCGAAAUGCGAUAAGUAAUGUGAAUUGCAGAAUUCAGUGAAUCAUCGAAUCUUUGAACGCACAUUGCGCCCCUCGGUAUUCCGGGGGGCAUGCCUGUUCGAGCGUCAUUGCACCCCUCAAGCGUAGCUUGGUCUUGGGCCCUCGCCGUCGUGGCGUGCCCGAAAAUCAGUGGCGGUCCGGGCCGGCUUCGAGCGCAGUAAACAUUAAAACCGCUCCGAACGUUCGGUCCGCGACUGGCCAGACAACCCCGUCCAUUCUAUGAUUGACCUCGGAUCAGGUAGGGAUACCCGCUGAACUUAA